UGCCCUAGUAACGGCGAGUGAAGCGGCAACAGCUCAAAUUUGAAAUCUGGCCCUCGGGUCCGAGUUGUAAUUUGUAGAGGAUGCUUUUGGUGCGGUGCCUUCCGAGUUCCCUGGAACGGGACGCCAUAGAGGGUGAGAGCCCCGUCUGGUCGGAUACCAAUCCUCUGUAAAGCUCCUUCGACGAGUCGAGUAGUUUGGGAAUGCUGCUCAAAAUGGGAGGUAUAUGUCUUCUAAAGCUAAAUAUUGGCCAGAGACCGAUAGCGCACAAGUAGAGUGAUCGAAAGAUGAAAAGCACUUUGAAAAGAGGGUUAAACAGUACGUGAAAUUGUUGAAAGGGAAGCGCUUGUGACCAGACUUGGGCCCGGUUAAUCAUCCAGUGUUCUCACUGGUGCACUUGGCCGGCCCAGGCCAGCAUCAGUUCGGCGUGGGGGAUAAAGACUUCGGGAAUGUGGCUCCUCCGGGAGUGUUAUAGCCCGUUGUGUAAUACCCUGUACUGGACUGAGGUUCGCGCAUUCGCAAGGAUGCUGGCGUAAUGGUCAUCAGCGACCCGUCUUGAAACACGGACCAAGGAGUCGUCUUCGUAUGCGAGUGUUCGGGUGUUAAACCCCUACGCGUAAUGAAAGUGAACGCAGGUGAGAGCUUCGGCGCAUCAUCGACCGAUCCUGAUGUUCUCGGAUGGAUUUGAGUAAGAGCAUACGGGGCCGGACCCGAAAGAAGGUGAACUAUGCCUGUAUAGGGUGAAGCCAGAGGAAACUCUGGUGGAGGCUCGCAGCGGUUCUGACGUGCAAAUCGAUCGUCAAAUAUGGGCAUG
RNAcentral lists this ribosomal RNA (811 nucleotides) under Fusicolla sp. BCCM/IHEM 2989. RNAcentral's name for it is "eukaryotic LSU rRNA". It matches the Rfam family "Eukaryotic large subunit ribosomal RNA", at positions 76 to 919 of the family's 3401-position model. Lineage: Eukaryota; Fungi; Ascomycota; Sordariomycetes; Hypocreales; Nectriaceae. The record is from RNAcentral.